UACGGAGGGUGCGAGCGUUGUCCGGAAUCACUGGGCGUAAAGGGCGCGUAGGUGGCGCGGGAAGUCAACGGUGAAAGUUCGGGGCUCAACCCUGAAUCGGCCGUCGAUACUCCCGGGCUCGAGCACUGUAGAGGCAGAUGGAAUUCCGGGUGUAGCGGUGGAAUGCGUAGAGAUCCGGAAGAACACCGGUGGCGAAGGCGGUCUGCUGGGCAGUUGCUGACACUGAUGCGCGACAGCGUGGGGAGCAAACAGG
RNAcentral lists this ribosomal RNA (253 nucleotides) under uncultured bacterium. RNAcentral describes it as "partial 16S ribosomal RNA". It matches the Rfam family "Bacterial small subunit ribosomal RNA", at positions 524 to 776 of the family's 1533-position model. The record is from RNAcentral.